Molecule: ribosomal RNA, 437 nt
Filed under: uncultured bacterium
Lineage: Bacteria
Description: partial 16S ribosomal RNA
Rfam family: Bacterial small subunit ribosomal RNA
Source: RNAcentral
AGCGAACGCUGGCGGCAGGCUUAACACAUGCAAGUCGAGCGGGCAUUCUGGUGUUGUCAGCGGCCGAGUGGUGAGCAACGCGUGGCAACGUGUUAUUCUGGUCGGAAUACCGCAGAACAACUUGAGAUAAUAACGGAUCCGUUCGAGGGCAGGAAGGUUUACCUUCCGAAGGACCGGCCUCCGUCUGAUUAGUUGGUUGGUGAGGUUAUGGCUCACCAAGGCGACGAUCAGUAGCUGGUCUGAGAGGAUGAUCAGCCACACUGGGACUGAGGCACGGCCCAAACUCCUACGGGAGGCAGCAGUGGGGAAUAUUGGGCAAUGGGGGCAAGCCUGACCCAGCCAUGCCGCGUGAGUGAUGACGGUCUUAGGGUUGUAAAAUUCUUUUAUCCGGGACGAUAAUGACGGUACCGGAAGAAUAAGCCCCGGCUAACUUCGUG